CCUGCGAGGGGGGUCAUGAGAGCCGGGGGGGAUGAGGGGCUGGCUCUCAGUCCCCGCCUCGCGGGGGGUGCCUCCCCCCCCUGCGAUGGGGGCCCUAAGGGCCAGGGGGGAUGUGGGGCUGGCUCUCAGUCCCUGCCUCGUGGGGGGUGCCUCCCCCCCCUGCGAUGGGGGUCCUGAGUCCACAGUCUACAAUACCCCACAGCUCCCAAGAAUUCCCUCACCUGCCUUCUGCCCUUAGGCUCUGGUAGAUUGUAAAUAACCUGCUUUCUUUCUGUUCCCGGGCGGUGUCGAACCCCUGUCGGAGAGUAAAUCCGAAGUAAGGUACCUGCCGUGGGCAGAUUUGAGCUUUCUUCUUGGACACCUAAUACCCACAGUCCUCCAGGCUCCGGUAGAUUGCAAAUGACCUGCUUUCUUUCUGUUCCCGGCGUUUGGACCCCUGUCGGAUAGUAAAUCCCAAGUAAAGUACCUGCCGUGGGCAGAUUUGAGCUUUCUUCUUGGACACCUAAUACCCAGAGUCGUCCAGGCUCCGGUAGAUUGCAAAUGACCUGCUUUCUUUCUGUUCCCGGCGUUUGGACCCCUGUCGGAUAGUAAAUCCCAAGUAAGGUACCUGCCGUGGGCAGAUUUGAGCUUUCUUCUUGGACACCUAAUACCCAGAGUCCUCCAGGUGGGUCCUUAAGGUUCUUAGGAUCCCCGAUGGGGGUCCUAAGCCAGGGGGGGAUGAGGGGCUGGCUCUCAGUCCCGGCUUCGUGGGGGGUGCCUCCCCCCCCUGCGAUGGGGGCCCUAAGAGCCAGGGGGGAUGUGGGUCUGGCUCUCAGUCCCUGCCUCGUGGGGGGUGCCUCCCCCCCCAUGAUGGGGGUAGUGAGAGCCCGGGGUGAUCAGGGGCUGGCUCUCAGUGCACGCCUCUUGGGGGUGCCUCCCCCCCUGCGAUGGGGUCACUGAGAGCCAGGGGGGAUGUGGGGCUGGCUCUCAGUCCCUGCCUCGUGGGGGGUGCCUCCCCCCCCAUGAUGGGGGUCGUGAGAGCCCGGGGUGAUCAGGGGCUGGCUCUCAGUCCACGCCUCUCGGGGGGUGCCUCCCCCCCUGCGAUGGGGUCACUGAGAUCCAGGGGGAAGAGGGGCUGGCUCUCAGUCCCUGCCUCGUUGGGGGUGCCUCCCCCCCCUGCGAUGGUGGUCAUGAGAGCCGUGGGGGAUGAGGGGCUCGCUCUCAGUCCCCGCCUCGCUGGGGGUGCCUCCCCCCCCUGCCAUGGGGACCCUAAGGGCCAGGGGGGAUGUGGGGCUGGCUCUCAGUCCCUGCCUCGUGGGGGGUGCCUCCCCCUCCUGCGAUGGUGGUCCUAAGAGCCAGAGGGGGAAGAGGGGCUGGCUCUCAGUCCCUGCCUCGUGGGGGGUGCCUCCCCCUCCUGCGAUGGUGGUCCUUAGAGCCAGAGGGGGAAGAGGGGCUGGCUCUCAGUCCCUGCCUCGUUGGGGGUGCCUCCCCCCCCUGCGAUGGGGGUCAUGAGAGCCGGGGGGGAUGAGGGGCUGGCUCUCAGUCCCCGCCUCGCGGGGGGUGCCUCCCCCCCCUGCGAUGGGGGCCCUAAGGGCCAGGGGGGAUGUGGGGCUGGCUCUCAGUCCCUGCCUCGUGGGGGGUGCCUCCCCCCCCGCGAUGGGGGUCCUGAGUCCACAGUCUACAAUACCCCACAGCUCCCAAGAAUUCCCUCACCUGCCUUCUGCCCUUAGGCUCUGGUAGAUUGUAAAUAACCUGCUUUCUUUCUGUUCCCGGGCGGUGUCGAACCCCUGUCGGAGAGUAAAUCCGAAGUAAGGUACCUGCCGUGGGCAGAUUUGAGCUUUCUUCUUGGACACCUAAUACCCACAGUCCUCCAGGCUCCGGUAGAUUGCAAAUGACCUGCUUUCUUUCUGUUCCCGGCGUUUGGACCCCUGUCGGAUAGUAAAUCCCAAGUAAAGUACCUGCCGUGGGCAGAUUUGAGCUUUCUUCUUGGACACCUAAUACCCAGAGUCGUCCAGGUGGGUCCUUAAGGUUCUUAGGAUCCCCGAUGGGGGUCCUAAGCCAGGGGGGGAUGAGGGGCUGGCUCUCAGUCCCGGCUUCGUGGGGGGUGCCUCCCCCCCCUGCGAUGGGGGCCCUAAGAGCCAGGGGGGAUGU
Gorilla gorilla gorilla (western lowland gorilla) is the source of this 2130-nucleotide long non-coding RNA. RefSeq lists it as uncharacterized. NCBI's taxonomy places the organism in Eukaryota, Metazoa, Chordata, Mammalia, Primates, Hominidae. The record is from RefSeq and is a predicted model, not a curated record. The transcript has 4 exons.